AACCUUAUAAAGGGACAUGGAAGCAUUCUUAGAGAACUUAACAAUGCAACUUGGUCUAGUAUCUAGCCAAUUAGCAUUAAAACUGAGCCCCUAGUAGGGAGUUCGAUGGGAAAAUUUUAGAUAUCCCAAAGAUAAGAAAAUUGAAAUAGAAUUCAAACAGGAAUGCGAGUUCGUUAAUGAAGGAGGAAUUGAAAAAGAGAAAAAAGAAAA
This 210-nucleotide long non-coding RNA is filed under the name Lathyrus oleraceus (garden pea). Its description in RNAcentral is "Pisum sativum (pea) long non-coding RNA (PSAT_LNC009078)". The record is from RNAcentral. Lineage: Eukaryota; Viridiplantae; Streptophyta; Magnoliopsida; Fabales; Fabaceae.